This 3090-nucleotide ribosomal RNA is filed under the name Planctomycetota bacterium. RNAcentral's name for it is "Planctomycetes bacterium (sediment metagenome) 23S ribosomal RNA". It matches the Rfam family "Bacterial large subunit ribosomal RNA". Lineage: Bacteria; Pseudomonadati; Planctomycetota. The record is from RNAcentral.
CGGUCAAGUUACGAAGGGUGUGCGGUGGAUGCCUUGGCGCCCAGAGGCGAUGAAGGACGUGGCUAGCUGCGAUAAGCCCCGGGGAGCUGCUGCUUGCUGUGAUCCGGGGAUUUCCGAAUGGGGCAACCCAGCCGAGGCAAUGCUCGGCUAUCCGCAUCUGAAUUCAUAGGGUGCGGAGGCGAACGCAGGGAACUGACACAUCUCAGUACCUGCAGGAGAAGAAAGAAAACCUCGACUCCCUCAGUAGCGGCGAGCGAAAGGGGACGAGCCUAAACCGGGCGCGUGCCAAGCCCUGUGCGUUGCGCGUCCGGGGUUGCGGGGAUCGUCUUCGCAGGGGAACAGGACCCUGCGGCAGAGUUACAAAAGCUCCUCCUAGUCGAAGCACUUGGAAAGGUGCCCCACAGAGGGUGAUAGGCCCGUAGGCGAAAGGAGAGGGCUCUUUGCGGACGAUUUCCCAAGUAGGGUCGGACACGUGGAACCCGGCCUGAACCCGGGAGGCCCACCUCCCAAGGCUAAGUACUUCUGGGCGACCGAUAGCGCAAAAGUAGCGCGAGCGAAAGGUGAAAAGCAAGCCUGUUAGGCGAAGGUGAAAUAGAACCUGAAACCGCACAUCUACAAGCGGUCGAAGCACCAUUUGUCCCCGCCUGCGGCGGCUCGUCUUGCCCUUCGGGGCGGGGCGUCUGCCGCGGCCGCCCUUCGGGGCGGAGGGUUGAUGAGGUGCGACGGCGUGCCUUUUGGUUAAUGAGCCGGCGAGUUGCUUCGUGUUGCUUGGUUAAGCCCCUCAGGGGCGGAGCCACAGCGAAAGCGAGUGUUCAAAGCGCGAUACGGUAGCACGGAGCAGACCCGAAAGCGUGUGAGCUAUCCAUGGCCAGGAUGAAGCGGGCGUAAAAGUCCGUGGAGGUCCGAACCCGUCCGGGUUGCAAACCAGUGGGAUGAGCUGUGGAUAGGAGUAAAAGGCUUAUCAAACACGCAAAUAUCUGGUUCUCCCCGAAACAUAUUUUGGUAUGGGCUCGGGCAACUACGUCGCGGGGGUAGAGCACUGAAUGAGUCUGCGGGGCCGCAAGCCUACGCGACUCAACCAAACUCCGAAUACCGCGGCGACUAUCCCGGGGCUCGGACUACGGGGGAUAAACUUCGUGGUCAAGAGGGAAACAGCCCAGACCGCCAGCUAAGGUCCUCGAAUCCGCGCUAAGUGCAAAAGGAAGUGAGAGUGCUCAGACAGCUGGGAUGUUGGCUUAGAAGCAGCCAUCAUUUAAAAAGUGCGUAAUAGCUUACCAGUCGACGCACUCUUGCGCCGAUAAUUCUCGGGACUCAAGCGCGGUACCGAAGCUGCGGGCCCGCCGCAAGGCGGGCGGUAGGGGAGCUUUCCACUCAGGGUUGAAGCGGUACUGAAAAGAGCCGUGGACCGAGUGGAAGUGAGUAUGCCGGCACGAGUAGCGCCAAAGCGGGCUAGAAUCCCGCUCGCCGUAAGCCUAAGGUUUCCUGUCCCAUGUAAGUCAGGGCAGGGUUAGCCGGUCCCUAAGCCGAGGCCGAAAGGCGUAGGUGAUGGACAGAAGGUGAAUAUUCCUUCGCCACCUGCACGUACCGAUGGGGGACGCGACCAGCUAGGCCGCGGUCUCGUCUAGCACACGGCCGUUAAGCCUCAAUAGGGGGUCCGCAGGCAAAUCCGCGGGCCACAUACCCGAAGGAGGUGCGAAGGCUUUUGCAUGAUAAGAGGCCAACGCGGGUCGCCGAGAAAAUCCUCUAGGUGCCCGAAAGGGCGAACGUGCGGAGUGACCGUACCGCAAACCAACACAGGUAGGUGAGGAGAGAAUCCUCAGGCGCGCGAGAGAACCCCCUUUAAGGAACUCGGCAAAAUAGCCCCGUAACUUCGGGAGAAGGGGCGCCUCUGCGGGUGAACCGGACCACGGGGAGCCUGUGGAGGCCGCAGCAAACCGGGCCACGCGACUGUUUACUAAAAACACAGCUCUCUGCCAAGUCAAACGACGACGUAUAGAGAGUGACACGUGCUCGAUGCCGGUAAGUCAAGGGAAAGGGUUAGCCCCUUCGGGGGCGACGCUCUGAACCGAAGCUCCGGUGAAUGGCGGCUCUAACUAUGAGAGUCCUAAGGUAGCGAAAUUCCUUGGCGGGUAAGUUCCGUCCUGCACGAAUCGUGUAACGACGUGGCCGCUGUCUCAAAGGGGGGCUCGGCGAAACUGUAGCAGCGGUGAAGAUGCCGCUUUCCCGCAUCAAGACGGAAAGACCCCGUGAACCUUUACUGUAGCCUAGCAUUGGGUCUUGUUCUAACAUGUGUAGUCUAGGUGGGAGGCGUUGAAGCCGGGACGCUAGUCCUGGUGGAGCCGCAAUAUGAAAAACCACCCUUGUUAUCACAGGACUCUAACCCUACGCCGUCAGCCGGCGACGGGACAGUGUUAGGUGGGCAGUUUAGCUGGGGCGGUUUCCUCCCAAAGCGUAACGGAGGAGCACAAAGGUUCCCUCAGCACGGUUGGCAAUCGUGCGGCGAGUGUAAGGGCACAAGGGAGCUUGACUGCGAGACACACAAGUCGAGCAGAUGCGAAAGCAGGUCCUAGUGAUCCGGCGGUCCCGUGUGGAAGGGCCGUCGCUCAACGGAUAAAAGGUACUCCGGGGAUAACAGGCUGAUCGCGCCCGAGCGUCCAUAGCGGCGGCGCGGUUUGGCACCUCGAUGUCGGCUCAUCGCAUCCUGGGGCUGUAGGAGGUCCCAAGGGUUCGGCUGUUCGCCGAUUAAAGCGGUACGUGAGCUGGGUUUAGACCGUCGUGAGACAGGUCGGUCCCUAUCUGAUGUGGGCGUAGGAUACUUGAGGGGUACGGCCGAUAGUACGAGAGGACUUCGGUCGCUCGACCUCUGGUGUACCGGUUGUCCUGCUAAGGGCAGCGCCGGGUAGCUACGUCGAGAGGGGAUAACUGCUGAAAGCAUCUAAGCGGGAAGCCCUCCCCAAGACGCGAGGUAUCCCUGAGCCGUCGAAAGGCGGCUCUGAAGGCACCAGGCAGACCACCUGGUCGAUAGGCCGGUUGUGUACGGGCAGCGAUGCCUUCAGCUAACCGGUACUAAUCCGCCAACCGACUUGACCG